GAUGAACGCUGGCGGCGUGCCUAAUACAUGCAAGUCGAGCGAACAGACGAGGAGCUUGCUCCUCUGACGUUAGCGGCGGACGGGUGAGUAACACGUGGAUAACCUACCUAUAAGACUGGGAUAACUUCGGGAAACCGGAGCUAAUACCGGAUAAUAUAUUGAACCGCAUGGUUCAAUAGUGAAAGACGGUUUUGCUGUCACUUAUAGAUCGAUCCGCGCCGCAUUAGCUAGUUGGUAAGGUAACGGCUUACCAAGGCGACGAUGCGUAGCCGACCUGAGAGGGUGAUCGGCCACACUGGAACUGAGACACGGUCCAGACUCCUACGGGAGGCAGCAGUAGGGAAUCUUCCGCAAUGGGCGAAAGCCUGACGGAGCAACGCCGCGUGAGUGAUGAAGGUCUUCGGAUCGUAAAACUCUGUUAUUAGGGAAGAACAAAUGUGUAAGUAACUAUGCACGUCUUGACGGUACCUAAUCAGAAAGCCACGGCUAACUACGUG
RNAcentral lists this ribosomal RNA (497 nucleotides) under uncultured bacterium. RNAcentral describes it as "partial 16S ribosomal RNA". It matches the Rfam family "Bacterial small subunit ribosomal RNA", at positions 28 to 507 of the family's 1533-position model. The record is from RNAcentral.